RNAcentral lists this ribosomal RNA (775 nucleotides) under Escherichia coli. RNAcentral's name for it is "partial 23S ribosomal RNA". It matches the Rfam family "Bacterial large subunit ribosomal RNA", at positions 2147 to 2916 of the family's 2925-position model. Lineage: Bacteria; Pseudomonadati; Pseudomonadota; Gammaproteobacteria; Enterobacterales; Enterobacteriaceae. The record is from RNAcentral.
GUGGGAGGCUUUGAAGUGUGGACGCCAGUCUGCAUGGAGCCGACCUUGAAAUACCACCCUUUAAUGUUUGAUGUUCUAACGUUGACCCGUAAUCCGGGUUGCGGACAGUGUCUGGUGGGUAGUUUGACUGGGGCGGUCUCCUCCUAAAGAGUAACGGAGGAGCACGAAGGUUGGCUAAUCCUGGUCGGACAUCAGGAGGUUAGUGCAAUGGCAUAAGCCAGCUUGACUGCGAGCGUGACGGCGCGAGCAGGUGCGAAAGCAGGUCAUAGUGAUCCGGUGGUUCUGAAUGGAAGGGCCAUCGCUCAACGGAUAAAAGGUACUCCGGGGAUAACAGGCUGAUACCGCCCAAGAGUUCAUAUCGACGGCGGUGUUUGGCACCUCGAUGUCGGCUCAUCACAUCCUGGGGCUGAAGUAGGUCCCAAGGGUAUGGCUGUUCGCCAUUUAAAGUGGUACGCGAGCUGGGUUUAGAACGUCGUGAGACAGUUCGGUCCCUAUCUGCCGUGGGCGCUGGAGAACUGAGGGGGGCUGCUCCUAGUACGAGAGGACCGGAGUGGACGCAUCACUGGUGUUCGGGUUGUCAUGCCAAUGGCACUGCCCGGUAGCUAAAUGCGGAAGAGAUAAGUGCUGAAAGCAUCUAAGCACGAAACUUGCCCCGAGAUGAGUUCUCCCUGACUCCUUGAGAGUCCUGAAGGAACGUUGAAGACGACGACGUUGAUAGGCCGGGUGUGUAAGCGCAGCGAUGCGUUGAGCUAACCGGUACUAAUGAACCGUGAGG